AGCACAGUUUAGGAAUAGAAAGAGAAACAAGAACGUCUUCAUUUUCUUCAGAGCAUCCUGAAGCAGACACUCAGGAGAUGGGAGAGUGAGAGCUUUGGACAAGUGUCUACUUAUUAUUCUGAAGCUUCCAUUUUAUUGCAAGUAAAGGACUCCAAUGUGGUCUUGUCCAGAACGAGGAGGUCUUGGCUAGUCAUCAGACCAAUGUUUCCACAGUUCCUUCUGACGUUACAAAGUUCCAGAAGCAAGGCAGAGAGUGCACUGGCUUCCUUCAAAGUGGAGCAUUGAAAUAAGGCUCUCCGGAUGUGUAAUAAGAGGAUCCAAUUUACCUAAGCAGCUGGCUAGGAUCCGAAGGCUUCACAGGAACCUAACAAAGAGGUGUGAUUGAACAGGGGCUGAGGGGUCCCUGGGGGUUGCUAGCGGGUUACAGAGCUGAUAUUGAAGAGCCUGAGACAGAAAGGACAGUUUGUAUAAAGACACUGAGGCAGAGAACAAGUAGGAGAUUGCCUAGAGAUGCUAUUUCAAGCAUUCUAACCAGGAAACAUACUCUGACCCUAACAUAAAGGAAAACCAACUCAGUUCAGCUAUUGAAUAUCCACAGGGAUGAGGGAAUGCUGUGGGCUGAUGAGCAGAUGAGGUUGCAGGAGAAAAAGAGAAAAAGAAUGGGUUUUAAGAGAAUAGUACACAUUCAAGGGAAUGCUUUUCUCUUAUCUUUUUUUUUGCCUUUUGUGUCUGUGACUCAAAAGGCAAGAUAACUAACCUCUGAAACCCUCCAAUUUCAGUUGUUUACUCUCUUGAGGAGAAGCCAGUAGCUUAGAGCCGACAGAAACGUCUAAGUCAUAAUUCUUAUAGUAGAGGACAGGAGAUGAUGUUUUCUUUAAACCACCAAAAUGAAUUUUAAAUUCAAAUCAAAACAGAAAAGGGGAUUUCAGAGCCAUCCCAAGCAUUUGGACAAAAAUCAGGUUGAGGUAGGGAAAGAGGACGGAACCAAAAGAACCUAGGAAGCCAGCGUUUACUGUGCGUUUGAAACCCCAGUUUCUUUUCUUUCUUUUUUUUUUUUUAAGAUUUUAUUUAUUUAUUCAUGAGAGACACAGAAAGAGAGGCAGAGACACAGGCAGAAGGAGAGGGAGAAGCAGGUUCCAUGCAGGGAGCCCGAUGUGGGACUAGAUCCCUGGUCUCCAGGGUCACGCCCUGGGCUGAAGGCAGUGCUAAACCGCUGAGCCACCCGGGCUGCCCACAACCCUAGUUUCUUUAAAAUUUCCCUACAACCUUCCCUGAAAGGUCAUCACUGUAGUUGUUGUUACUUUUAUCAUCAUUUUACUGACCAGGAAUGGUAACUAGUUCAAAUUACCUGAUUAAGUGUGUGUUAUUUUCACUAAGCCUCAUAGGAACAAGGGUGGUGUGAGCUUCCUCAGCUGUUUUGUCCUUCUUGCCAAUACUGGCCAUUUGGCUCAGUAAAAGGGGCUGGCCCCUCUUUGCCCCUGUCACAGCCAACAGUCUAUGUUACCCAGUGUCAUGGUAAUAAGAAGGAGUGUUCUCCUCUGCCAAGGCCACUGGGGAAGCAGGUCUUUGCAUUCUCACAGUAUACACACUUCUCCUGUGUGUGGAAGAGACUGCAUUCUCUGUAGAUCCUGCUUUGCAAAGCAUUUUGGUUCUACCCUUGGGAAAUGUAUGUGCAGGAAAGGCUCUGCUUAUGAGUCCUUUAUUGUGGAUUGUUAUCAGGUUUCCACAUCUUUGGAGAGUGUUUAGAUUAUAGGCGGAAAAACUGAUUUUUUAAAGCUGAAGUUAAGCCAGUACAUCAUCCCCUCAAAAGUGUCUUCUAUUAAAAACAACAGACACCAAAAAAAAGGAAAAAAAAAAAAAAAAGAAAAAA
RNAcentral lists this long non-coding RNA (1870 nucleotides) under Canis lupus familiaris (dog). Its description in RNAcentral is "lncRNA (ENSCAFG00000051966.1, ENSCAFG00805030782.1)". Lineage: Eukaryota; Metazoa; Chordata; Mammalia; Carnivora; Canidae. The record is from RNAcentral.